Molecule: non-coding RNA, 23 nt
Filed under: Rattus norvegicus (Norway rat)
Lineage: Eukaryota; Metazoa; Chordata; Mammalia; Rodentia; Muridae
Source: RNAcentral
UUAUGUCAAGUCCGAAAUGGAGG